CUUUCAGUGAGUGCGACGGGUGAGUAACACGUGGACAACCUGCCUCAAGGCUGGGGAUAACAUUUGGAAACAGAUGCUAAUACCGAAUAAAACUUAGUGUCGCAUGACACAAAGUUAAAAGGCGCUUCGGCGUCACCUAGAGAUGGAUCCGCGGUGCAUUAGUUAGUUGGUGGGGUAAAGGCCUACCAAGACAAUGAUGCAUAGCCGAGUUGAGAGACUGAUCGGCCACAUUGGGACUGAGACACGGNCCAAACUCCUACGGGAGGCUGCAGUAGGGAAUCUUCCACAAUGGGCGAAAGCCUGAUGGAGCAACGCCGCGUGUGUGAUGAAGGCUUUCGGGUCGUAAAGCACUGUUGUAUGGGAAGAACAGCUAGAAUAGGAAAUGAUUUUAGUUUGACGGUACCAUACCAGAAAGGGACGGCUAAAUACGUGCCAGCAGCCGCGGUAAUACGUAUGUCCCGAGCGUUAUCCGGAUUUAUUGGGCGUAAAGCGAGCGCAGACGGUUUAUUAAGUCUGAUGUGAAAGCCCGGAGCUCAACUCCGGAAUGGCAUUGGAAACUGGUUAACUUGAGUGCAGUAGAGGUAAGUGGAACUCCAUGUGUAGCGGUGGAAUGCGUAGAUAUAUGGAAGAACACCAGUGGCGAAGGCGGCUUACUGGACUGCAACUGACGUUGAGGCUCGAAAGUGUGGGUAGCAAACAGGAUUAGAUACCCUGGUAGUCCACACCGUAACGAUGACACNAGGUGUUAGGAGGUUCCGCCUCUUAUGCCGANCUAACGCAUUAGUGUUCCNCUGGGANUCNACCCAAGUUGAACUNAANGAUUGANGGNCCNCNANCGNCGACNGNGUUAANCACCCCCAAACUNC
RNAcentral lists this ribosomal RNA (866 nucleotides) under Leuconostoc mesenteroides. RNAcentral describes it as "partial 16S ribosomal RNA". It matches the Rfam family "Bacterial small subunit ribosomal RNA", at positions 87 to 873 of the family's 1533-position model. Lineage: Bacteria; Bacillati; Bacillota; Bacilli; Lactobacillales; Lactobacillaceae. The record is from RNAcentral.